Molecule: ribosomal RNA, 443 nt
Filed under: uncultured bacterium
Lineage: Bacteria
Description: partial 16S ribosomal RNA
Rfam family: Bacterial small subunit ribosomal RNA
Source: RNAcentral
CCUACGGGGGGCAGCAGUGGGGAAUAUUGGGCAAUGGGCGCAAGCCUGACCCAGCAACGCCGCGUGCAGGAAGAAGGCUUUCGGGUUGUAAACUUCUUUUCUCAGGGACGAAGAAAGUGACGGUACCUGAGGAAUAAGCCACGGCUAACUACGUGCCAGCAGCCGCGGUAAUACGUAGGGGGCAAGCGUGAUCCGGAUAUACUGGGCGGAAAGGGCGGGUAGGCGGGGCUGCAAGGCAGAGGUGAAAACCACGGGCUCAACCCGUGGCCUGCAUUUGAAACUGUCGUUCUUGAGUACGGGAGAGGCAGACGGAAUUCCUAGUGUAGCGGUGAAAUGCGUAGAUAUUAGGAGGAACACCAGUGGCGAAGGCGGUCUGCUGGACAGAAACUGACGCUGAGGCGCGAAAGCGUGGGGAGCAAACAGGAUUAGAUACCCUAGUAGUC